This is a non-coding RNA of Vicia faba (fava bean), 192 nucleotides long. The record is from the annotation of a GenBank genome assembly. NCBI's taxonomy places the organism in Eukaryota, Viridiplantae, Streptophyta, Magnoliopsida, Fabales, Fabaceae.
AUGAUAAUUAUCUUGAUGCUUAUUUUUAAAUUAUAUUUUUUUUCUAACUAUUUUUCCAUGAACCACUUUUUUAUUCACACGGUACAUACACCUACUCUUCACACCAAAAAGCUCAUUAACCACAUACCAGCAUCAUAUCUAUCUUACCACUUUCAUACAAAAAAUUUGCAAAUCAAUUUUAUACCAAACUAA